This 774-nucleotide ribosomal RNA is filed under the name uncultured Neocallimastigales. Its description in RNAcentral is "partial large subunit ribosomal RNA". It matches the Rfam family "Eukaryotic large subunit ribosomal RNA", at positions 24 to 643 of the family's 3401-position model. Lineage: Eukaryota; Fungi; Neocallimastigomycota; Neocallimastigomycetes; Neocallimastigales. The record is from RNAcentral.
UAUCUCUGUAGAGUCUGCAUAUCAAUAAGCGGAGGAAAAGAAACUAACAAGGAUUCCCUUAGUAACGGCGAGUGAAGCGGGAAGAGCUCAAAUUUGAAAUCUUCAAGGUUCUACCUUGACGAAUUGUAGUUUAAAGAAGUGUUUUCUGUUAGAUGAGUAGCAAAAGUUCCUUGGAAUGGGACAUCAUAGAGGGUGAGAAUCCCGUAUUUGGUUAUUCAUUCUAGCUUUGUGAUACACUUUCAAAGAGUCGGAUUGUUUGGGAAUGCAGUCCAAAAUGGGUGGUAAAUUUCAUCUAAAGCUAAAUAGUUGGCGAGAGACCGAUAGCGAACAAGUACCGUGAGGGAAAGAUGAAAAGAACUUUGAAAAGAGAGUUAAACAGUACGUGAAAUUGUCAAAAGGGAAGCGUUUGACACCAGUGUUGUUUUUCCGAAAAUCAAUUACGAAUGGCUUGAUUUUGUGUUGUAUUGACCUUAUCAGCUUUCUGCACUUUUUUCGAGUCUUUCUUAAUGCACUUUUCGGUUAACAAGUCAACAUCAAUUUCUUUUGUUGUAAAAGAGUAUUCGGAAGGUGGCUUUCUUUUCGGAGAAAGUGUUUAUAGCCCUAUACUUCUACAAUCGGAGAGAUUGAGGUCUGCAGCGUAGAUCCUUCGGGGUUAGAUACACUUGUGCUAAGUUGUAGCUUUUCAUAGACAACUUGUUGACUAUGUUUAGUCAUGCGGCUUACUCGCUUGUGCUAUUUUACCUACGCUUAGGAUGUUGACUGAUAUGUAGUCGU